GAUUAUUUGCUCGCAACGCUUUCUGGCACGAUUUCCUGUAUUGUCAUCAUUCUCUAAUAUCUAGAAUUUCGCGACGGUCUGAUUAAGCUCGUUAGAACGCAAAUUAUUUAAAAGUAGUUCUAUUGUUGGAGUCUACUAUAAUAUUAUUUCAAUUUUACUGAAUAUAAAUUCAAAAGGUUAAUUUCUAAUAUUACAUAAUGUCUGAAAUUGAUAAAAUUUUAAUUUUUAAAUCUGUAACAUCUAAUUGUUUAACCGUUGUGUUUGAAGUACAAUCUAAUUUUUAAUAUUUGUCAUGUGCAUUUUUCGUUACUACUAACACGUUUAUACAACUGCAUUCGAAACGUGUUAAAGAGUGUCUGGAUAUUUUCUGAGACCUUACUGGUGCGCAGCAUCGGGUUAAGUGCUAAGGUUGCCGGCUUGUGCACGUGUGUUAGCCGUUCAUAUAUCUUCUAUUGCACUUUUUGUUUUGCAUCGUUACCCUCUUAACCUAUUCUCCACUCUCAAUCGAACGGAAUCGAGUUGCAUCGAUACAUAGAGCGUACGAAAUGCGCGAGAACGGAAAGCAGAGUCGAUGCCACGGAGGUGCACGAAGGAGGCCGAGCGGGUUCGGAAGCAGCCGAGGCCAUCUGUUACGCUCGGUUCCCACGCUUCCGCCGUCGCCUUUCCCCGCCUUUGGACCAGUCCUCAUCGGUCCUUUUCUUGCCCCCUCCUUCGCCGACACUGCCGGCUCUCGCCGUCGCUUUAUUUUAUAUAGCCGGAGAAUGCUUGGACGUCUUUAACCGCGAGUCCGCGUUUUCUGUUACGAACUUACGAGGCAAAACUUUUGUCCAUUAUCGCGAAAUUUCUGCUCGUCGUAGUUUCCGUUUGGCUCGGUCUCGAAGCGUUAAGUAAAAGUUGUACGACUAGUCUUGUAAGGAUAGGACCGGCCAAAAUUUAUCUCUUUCGGUCCCGUUCUGUGUACGUCACAACGAAAACAAAUGUUCCAAGAUGUUGCUUACCUAUUUUACUUUCUUAUUUUCGUUUGAAAUAAAUCGAAUGUUUUACAGCAAAAUUCGUUGCCUUAUUUCCUUAAUAUCUACUUAAGCAAGCGUUAGCUAUUCAAUGUUGUUAGAUGACAUAAUAUUGAAGUGUUAUAUGAAAUGAUACAUAAUUUCUGUUCAUGACUCCCACAUUUAAGAAUUAAAACUGAGGUUAGAAUUCCAGUUAAUCUUUCUUGCGAGUGCAGUCUAUUUUUACUGAAUCGAAACUAUAAUCUCUGUUACCAGCAUAGCUCAAUGUUAUAAGCAAGAGAUUAAGUACGUUAUGUAUUUCAGAUUUCUCUUAAAUGUGAACGUUUCCGUGGGAGCAGUUAGAUAAAUUCAGCCGGGCGGCUUCGCUUUCUCCAGUUUGUUCAUCAAGCAAGCCGACUGCGAUACUUGAAACUGGUCCAUUUACGCCAGUGGCACGAAUUAGCCUGCCAAAGAAAAAAAAAGUUGCUUUCAACGUGGGGCACGUGCCGUCUGCAGUCGCGCCGCUAUUGUCAUCUUCUCAGAGGCUGUGUUUACACAAACGCAUUCCCCCAAUCGCCCCCUGCGGAAAGUUGGCACUCCCGACCACCAGCCACUGCGUACAGAGAACGUUCUUAAAUGUGUUCGUACAAAAGGAAUCGUAAACGGCGCGCACGUGUGUUGACGACGCGUCGUCGAGGGGGCUGGAACGAUUAAACCGACCGCAAAAAGAGAUGGACUCGAUUCUUUAAAUACAUGGUCGAUAUGACAGGGGGAGCGACCAUGGUGACAAUGUCGAGUGACUUCCAGCGACCCCUUGUUUACCUAUGAAUAAAUUGCAUUUACUUCGUUACAUAAAAACAUGAGGAUAAAAGGUCGAAAACAUAGCCAAUAGAUUACAUAUUUGAACAAAGUUGAUCCCAAAUAUUAUAUAUAGUAGCUCACUGAAGUAUUCGUACACUUAUUACGAAUGUAUGCGUAUUUCUGUGCUAUAUGAAACAUUUUGAAACUUUGAAAAUUUACAUAGAAGCUACAAAAUAUUUAAUGUAAGUGUAUGUAUAUACAUAAUUAAAAGUUCCCAGUAAUUUUAAAACAAUUCGCCGAACAAUUUAAAGAAUGUAGGGGGCGGUGAUCGUGAGCAAACGAUUACAUUGAACCUAGCUCGAGACAGAUGAUUUUAUGGCGCAGUAAUCGUCGCGGUAUGCAAUCGAUAAUAAAGGGACGAUCGACCCUGUGAACGAAGCCAGGUUCGGAAACCUUUGUGCAUGAUGAACAAUUUGAAACGUGUUGCUGGUUGUCGUGGCAUAAAUCAGUCGCUCUGUCGGCAUGAUUAGAAACUCUUUGGAAAAUACGCGGCGAACAGUAGAGGGAACGGCGUGGUUUCGGUUCUGUUGAAACAGGCUGUCUGUCGCGUCUCAUGGCAACGCGACCUUUUCUUUAGGUUAUGUUAUGUGAUUGUUUUAACCAAAGAACAUCGUACAUAACAUGAAACUAUGUUACAUAACCUAAAUGAAUUUUUGCAGUUUGUUGUAAUAUAGUAACGGGUAAUAUAAUCACUUGCUAUAAUACAAUACUUAUUCUGUGCAUAUAUUAGGUCGAUGCAUAUGAAAUGUCCUCUCAAAUGAAACUAAUCACGUGUAGGUUCUUCAAAGCAUCAUGUCUAUGUUGAACUGAUAAUUCUCAGAAAUCUAAUAUAACUAAAUUAUUCUUUAGGAAAGGAUAUCAUGCAGAAAUUACUUUGAUUAAAUUUACAUGUAAUGCAUUGAAGAAUCUAUAUAGUAUAUGCGGUUAAGUUUCAUUUCAAAAAGAACAUUUCAUAUACACCAAUCUAAUACAUAGAAAAGAAAUAUUGGUGGAGAAGCAUGUUUUUAGAAAAUAUAAUACAAUAUUACUAAAGCUAUAAUAAAGUAUCGUUUAUCUUUGGAAUAGAUUGUACAAAUGCACUCGAGGAACGGAUACUGAAAUCCCUUCUUUCUUUUGGUGUUCAAGAUUUAUAUGUUUUGUUCUGGCAGUUUUAAAUGAAUCCUCGCGGUUCGAUAGCCACGAAUGCGUGUAUUUGGUUCGAUAAGAGAGUUAAUAUGCAACGUAUUGCGACAGGGGCGCGUACGCAAAAGACGAAGACUGUGCCAACAACGCUUGCAACGAUAUAGAAUCAUGAAUGGUACUCUUGUAAACGAUAUCGAAACGCAACCCUCUGUUUCCGUUUUGUCCAAUAAUAGAUUUCCCCCAUUCUGCGGUUUCCCUUUAUUCGCAUGAAGAUUAUGUUACACGCCUGUUCGGCACGGUUAGUCGCGAAGCUGAAUGUAACGAACGAUAAACCUAACCUAAAUUAAGCGGAAGUAAAAUUUAUUUUUCAAAAAUAAAAAAUACGUGUUUUUUUUAUAAUACCUGUUCUAUAAAUAUUAUUAAAAGAUUAGGGAUGCUUCAAAUUAAUUUAAUGGUCGUCUAGAACUUCUUUUUUUAACACAAACAAACAAAAGUAAACAAUCACGCGGGCCACUGGUUACAAAUAUAAAUGCAUGG
Molecule: long non-coding RNA, 3509 nt
Organism: Bombus pyrosoma
Lineage: Eukaryota; Metazoa; Arthropoda; Insecta; Hymenoptera; Apidae
Exons: 3
Source: RefSeq, a predicted model, not a curated record